CAUACUUGACAGGCACAGAACAGAGGUGACAAAUCCACAAAGAAAGGGAGAGAUGGGGAACCAGUGGGUGAAGGAUUACCUCACAGAAUAUGCAGAAAGCUUCCCUCAAGUCUCCGUAGUCCUCGAGGCCAACAUUGACAGGUGCAUCUAUGGUCAGAAAGGGUUUGAAGAUCACACCUUUCAAGAGAUGUGGGAAUUAUAUUGUCAGUACAGCAGCCAAAAGGACAGACCUGAGAAGUUCAGUGAUGAGCAGAGGGAGGUCAUUCAGAGGCACACAGUUCUGUGAAGAGGUGGUUGAACACACCAGGGACGCACAUCACAAGCACCCAAAUGAAGAGGUUCAGAAAAUAUAUAUAUGACAAGGAACAACAACAGCUGACAAGUACCCCCAGGUGUGAUCCUUCAUUGUGGCCAAGUGAUGAUGCUGAACUGAUAGCUGCAUCCCAGUCUGUGGAAGAUUCACUGAAGUCCCAACACUCCUUGUCUGCAAGUCAACCUUUAAAGCAACGGCUGACAAGCAGAGGUGUUUCCUCCUCCCAGACGUCUGGAACAUAGGAGAACUCAGCUCCCCUGUCCAAGGAGUUUGAGAACACUGUACAGUCACCACAUCAAAAUAAAUCUACUGUGCAGCCCAAACAUCGUGAGUCCACAGAGGCUGCCAUACAGUCCAAAAAACUUGACACUGUUGGAUUCACUGAGUCAUCUGCAUCCCAGGGUCAUGAUCAUACAACACAAUUACUGUUGAGUCAUUCACCUGUGGAGCUAGAGGGAUGGGUGCGUCCCUGGGAAAAUCCUAAUGGUAUCCCAUCUGCUGACAUUUCCUGGCUUAAAGAGGACACUGAAAGAGGACUGUUUACCCCUGUUCAGACAUACAAGGAUGUUACUGGUGUGUUGAAGAGGCGACGGGUGAUUAAAUCAGAUCGCAUGUGGUUUUACCCACCAGAACCUCCUGGCUAUGCCAGGGGUGCUGUGCCCAGUGUACAGCUCUUUUUUCGCAGCCG
Long non-coding RNA from Oreochromis aureus, 1001 nucleotides. The record is from Ensembl. NCBI's taxonomy places the organism in Eukaryota, Metazoa, Chordata, Actinopteri, Cichliformes, Cichlidae.